RNAcentral lists this ribosomal RNA (253 nucleotides) under uncultured bacterium. RNAcentral's name for it is "partial 16S ribosomal RNA". It matches the Rfam family "Bacterial small subunit ribosomal RNA", at positions 524 to 776 of the family's 1533-position model. The record is from RNAcentral.
CACGUAGGGCGCAAGCGUUGUCCGGAAUUAUUGGGCGUAAAGAGCUCGUAGGCGGUCUGUUACGUCUGCUGUGAAAAUCCGGGGCUUAACCCUGGGCUUGCAGUGGAUACGGGUAGACUAGAGGCAGGUAGGGGAGAAUGGAAUUCCCGGUGUAGCGGUGAAAUGCGCGGAUAUCGGGAGGAACACCGGUGGCGAAGGCGGCGACCUGGGUCGAGACUGACGCUGAGGCGCGAAAGCGUGGGGAGCAAACAGG